RNAcentral lists this ribosomal RNA (213 nucleotides) under Myrmecia israelensis. RNAcentral describes it as "Myrmecia israeliensis partial 18S ribosomal RNA". It matches the Rfam family "Eukaryotic small subunit ribosomal RNA", at positions 1621 to 1831 of the family's 1831-position model. The record is from RNAcentral. Lineage: Eukaryota; Viridiplantae; Chlorophyta; Trebouxiophyceae; Trebouxiales; Trebouxiaceae.
GCGCGAGUCAUCAGCUCGCGUUGAUUACGUCCCUGCCCUUUGUACACACCGCCCGUCGCUCCUACCGAUUGGAUGUGCUGGUGAAGUGUUCGGAUUGGCGGCAGUGGGCGGUUCGCCGCUUGCUGCAGCCGAGAAGUUCUCUAAACCCUCCCAUCUAGAGGAAGGAGAAGUCGUAACAAGGUUUCCGUAGGUGAACCUGCGGAAGGAUCAUUG